UGCAGUCGAACGGUCCAAAGCUUAACACCGAGAACAUACUGCUUAAAGGCAGAGCGGUGGCGAAGUGAAACGAGCCAUCACGCAUACAUAAAGUGAUUAUCAAGCAAAAUGUUUUGGGUGUUGAGCUUUGGAUAGUGGCGAACGGGUGAGUAACGCGUAGGCAAUCUGCCUUCUAGAUGGGGACAACAUCCCGAAAGGGGUGCUAAUACCGAAUG
Molecule: ribosomal RNA, 215 nt
Filed under: uncultured Anaeromusa sp.
Lineage: Bacteria; Bacillati; Bacillota; Negativicutes; Selenomonadales; Sporomusaceae
Description: partial 16S rRNA
Rfam family: Bacterial small subunit ribosomal RNA
Source: RNAcentral